GGGAUAGCUCAGCUGGUAGAGCAGAGGACUGAAAAUC
This 37-nucleotide transfer RNA is filed under the name Primula sieboldii. RNAcentral describes it as "partial tRNA-Phe(GAA)". Lineage: Eukaryota; Viridiplantae; Streptophyta; Magnoliopsida; Ericales; Primulaceae. RNAcentral also lists the same sequence under 27 other names. The record is from RNAcentral.